GGACCUGGACCUGGUGGUGGUGGUGGUGGUGGCGCUGUGGGUCCCACUAUUAGUAGUAGACUAGACUAGUAGGGAGGGUCUAGCCGUCUAGGGACCGAUCACCCAUGGAAACUGGGGAGCCUGAUGCUGAUCAACCCCUCUGGGCUCUGGCCCUCUCUCUCCCCUUCAGAUUGAAAGUUGAAACACCAUCCUGACAUCCUCCGAUACGCAUUCAUGAUUCAUCCAUCUCAGACCAACCGAGUUGGCGGAGGAGAAUCGUCGGCGCAUAACCCGGCGCACAGGCCGGAAUGAUGGGAAAUUGGUGCGCAGGUCACUCCAAGCAACAGAUUUGAAAACGAUUACUCAUCGACCUCCCCCCUCCCUCCUAUUCUUUUGUGCUUCUAUCUUGUCUCCCUCUCCCCCUCCCCCUUGUUCUUCGCCCACCGCCUCCCACGGAGCGCACUCUGACACCUCCCGGUCCAAUCCGACCGGUUCCCACUUCGUUACAGUGGUGAUCCAAUGAGCGCGCUCUCAUUGGUGUACUUCUACGUGUUUAUUAUCUAUUGGAUUAAAGACAAAAAAAUACCAAGUAUACAACCUUCCAGUUCCACUGGAGUGAUGGUAGACGAAAGAGCGCACCUGAUUUAUUCCAUGAGAGCGCGGUCGUUGAAUCAUCGAUCCACUUCAUUAUCGGUUUAUUAAAUAAUAUUUCAUGAUUCAUCUAUCUCCCUCGGGAACCGCCGAUUACGGCCUACGACACGUGGUGUCAUUUUAUUCGAUUGUCACACGUGUGGUAAGCUCAGCACUGAAGAAUCAUGUAGUUAAGAGCCAUGAACCAAAGGUGGAGCGAGCAGCUGAAUUACUCUCUCUCUCUUUCUCUCUUCGUCGUCUUCUUGCUCAUUUCCUCUUUUCCACCCUUUCUCAUCUUUAUUUAAAGGCUCUUGCUUUGUCGAGAGCUUAGGCUACCUAAUAAUGUUAACAGCUAUUUUUUUCUUUCCAUUUUUGUUUACUCUGCUGCCUCGUUUCUUUACGUUUUGUUUUUUUUUUCGCUCCAAUUUUUCUGAAAUAUAUUUCCCUCGUCAUAUAAAUUGAUUUCCAUGGCUGAUUUCUUCUCAUUUCUGGAUUUACUUUUUAUGUUCUAAUGACAAUUUUCCGGGCAUGUUUAACCUUUUUGCUGGGCUGCUGCGGUUCUCUCUCAUCUCCACUCUUGAUCUUCUGAUACGCCGGUUUUGGGUUUUCGAUUGUUUAAACUCGGAAAUUAACAUUUGUUGCACUGUUUUGCUCCUUUGCCUCUCAUCUCCCCUCACCCUGAUUUUUGCUAUAAUUCUACAAUUUUUCUUCUCUUACAACCAUUUCUUUCCUUGGUUUAAAUACAUUUCUUACUUGUUUUCUUUCCUUAAUUUACUUGUUGCUUGUUCUUCCCAGAGAUUUCAGUUCGAAGAAGAUAAAAGAAAAGAGUGGAUGAAGAGAGAAACAAGGAGAUCCGAAAAAUAAGAUCAGUAAGAUCCUACAUGCUUUUCCACGGCUUUCUUGAACUUAGUACUCAGGUCGGUUUCUCUCUCUCUCUCUCUCUCUCUCUAUGUCUCAAGCAAAUGAAAGCAAAGUACAUCGACCACAUCUCAGUACAAAGCUCAAGAAAGCUGUGGGAAAACAUGAAAAGAUUUUGUUAAUUUCCUCCGCGUUCUCCUCCCCUCUCCAAGAUCCCAUCUUCACGAGGUAACGAUCACUUAUCUCUCUGCUUUGCUAGAAUUCGAGCGAGGAAAAGCUAGAUCUGGUUCAGGAUAUCAUAAGCAUGCUGCAUUUUGACUGUAAAAACGUUCUCCUUGUUUAGAUUUGAACCAGAUCUAAUUUUCUCUAUUACAGUAAAAAAAUAAGAAAGGAUCUUCUGGUUAGUUUUAGUGUUUCUAUUCUGCAGAUUCUUUUCAUUUAAACAAACAUCAUGUACAAGCCAUAUAAGCCAUAGCUCUAGCUCUUCUGAGGAAGCCAAACUGUGAAACCCUAGAUCUUUUUUGUUGCUUCACUCCUCACGAUUUCUUUUUCUUUUUUUUUAAUCUUUUUGGUAUCUCGGGAUCCGAAGACCAUUCAGAUCGGGUUCUUACUCGUAUUCAGCAGCUUUUACUUUUGGAAUUGUUUUAUAUAUCCAUUGCAAAAUUUACUUCAUUUUCUGUAAAUUGUAUUGUAUUUUUCUUAACUACAGUAGCAUUGCAAAUAAAAUGUAUUUUAACUCUUUCUUCCUCAACUUCAUGCAAAGUUCUUUAAAUUUGAUUAUUUCCAUAUUAUCUUUGUUUAACUUGCUAUCUUCAAUAAAUUGUUGAAUAUAAGAAAAAAAAUAGGAAGACCAUUAAUGGAAAAAUGAACAUUAGAUGACACGAAAUCAAACUGUUCUUUAUUUUUUUCUCUGAAGAAGAAUUCAAGGGAGAAAAAGGAAAAUUGUCAAUCAAAGAAAUCAAAUCGAAGUGAUACGGUUACAUUUCCUUCUUUAAUUUUGGCGGACGAAAGUAGAAAAAUAGAAAGCAGUGGACCCUCACUGGUUUGUCCAUUAAUGGCCAUGGGGGUCAGCAGUGGUUUCAGCUUUUGGUUGCUUUUCCUGAGCUGGAAGAGCAAGAAGCUGUGAGCUGUGUGUGGGAUUGGAGAUGGUCUGAUCAUAUUCUGAUAUUCUCUUUUUUCUUCCCUCUUCUUCCUUUUUAGUGUUUUCGGUAAAAAAAAAAAAAAACACAAGUGGGUACGUACAAACGAUGGUAUUAUUGCUUCUUAAUUCACCCCAACCUCACAGUUAACGGUUAUUACCCGUAAAGUUCAAACCAGUUUUGCUCCAUUGCAUACUUCACUUUCUAAUAACACCUUGUGAUGUCAAAACAAAACAAUAUAUUGAAGUCGAUUGUAGUAAUUAACUUCUCAUCCCUGUCUUGCUUUUGCUCUGUGUUGCUUUAUUUUAUGAGGCUUUUGAUAUAUCUUAAUAGUCUCUAAAUGAACCAAUCACCUUCUUCCUAUAGUUCAAACAAAGAUCAGAGAACCUGAGCACAUGACAACAAAAUAAAAUUUGGCCCAGAGCUAGAUCAUUGUAUUUGUUAGGCCAUCAUUGCGAGGGGACUGUAUGGCCAUCUGGUGUUGAUUAAAUGGUUAUUGAAGUGUAGGAACAAGAACACCAAGUGGUAGGGCUCUUCUCCUUUAUGUCUCUGCUUGAGUUGGAGCAAUAACAAUUGGAGGUCUUGGGCGUUGGUGUAAUUCUCCAUUUUCUCUUUGGGCGGGUGGGUGUGGUAUAAAUAUGGAUCAGUCAUGAUGUCGAGUAAUAUGAAAAGAAAGUUCCAUCUCGUUAAAUGAAGGAAUUUAUAGAGAAGUGGCACCGUGGGGAGAGCUAGAGAGAGGUACAGUGGAUAUGAUUUGCAGUUUAGCUAGUUGAUGGUGGUUGGUUCUUGCAAUGGCUUUUUCUAUAUAUCUUCAUCUUGCAGAAUGCUUCUGCGCUCAUAGAAUUAUAUGAAGUCGAAAUUCUUUCAAACAUGGGGUAUGUGGCUGACAUUGAUCUGCCCAUCAUAGCUAAGGCUACGAUACCACACAGUAGUCAUUCUGAUGGAGAGCUAGGGAUGAGUCAUCCAAACAAAGAUUUGAACCUGUAGAAGUGGAAUUCAUGUCUCUCAAAAAGGGAGUUUUUUUUGGGCAAAGUUCUUGGUACCUCAAAUCUGAUCAUGGAGCAGAAUUGUUUAUAGUACAGAGAGCUUUUCAAGGUAACAGAAAAACUUUGAGUUCAGUAAUGUCAAUUGUGUGUGUAAUCCAAGACGCUCAAGACACAAAGACCUUCAUAUAUAGUUGACACUGGCCAGGUGAUUGGAAUAUAAUAGCCUCCCGAUCGAAUGAUUGGUUGCUCUGAA
Nelumbo nucifera (sacred lotus) is the source of this 3845-nucleotide long non-coding RNA. RefSeq lists it as uncharacterized. The record is from RefSeq and is a predicted model, not a curated record. Lineage: Eukaryota; Viridiplantae; Streptophyta; Magnoliopsida; Proteales; Nelumbonaceae.